Long non-coding RNA from Cucurbita moschata (crookneck pumpkin), 1063 nucleotides. RefSeq lists it as uncharacterized. The record is from RefSeq and is a predicted model, not a curated record. NCBI's taxonomy places the organism in Eukaryota, Viridiplantae, Streptophyta, Magnoliopsida, Cucurbitales, Cucurbitaceae. The transcript has 3 exons.
UAGCACGCCUAAACGGUAGUUUGUUGAGUCACUCCUUUGGCUUCUUCUCCUUCAAGCUUCCACCAAUUUUGAUCAGAGCAUCGAUCCUUCCGGCGACACCUGUACGUGACGACAACUUCCACCGGCGUCUUCUUCAAUAGCUGCAUUGAUGACUUGCUACUCCUGCAAUGGCUGGUGACCCGUUCUGCAGGCGCCACUCGCCGGAGCGGACUCAAGUCUGAACAUCCUCACGAUUCCGGCGAUUUUCAACGGUUAUUUCUCUUUUUCGUUGAUUUUCGGUAAUGAUCUAUGCUCAAUGGACCUUUGAUUUACAUUACCCCCUCCCUAACGGCUUCAAAUCUACGGGUCUUUUUCGUAUUGGAUGGAUAACGGACCCAUUUGAACACUUUUCAGCAAGGAUUGUUGUCCGUUUUGAUCUAAUGACUCCUUACUACACAACUGCCAGAGCCUGCCUCAAGGAACAAAGAGAUGGCUACGGCUGCUGCACAGGAAAGACCCAGGUUUUGUGAAGUUCACUUGAAUGAUAGAACGAAGGCCAUGAAGGCGAAGCCGCAUGCCAGCCAAGGAAUCCAACUGAAAUUCUGAUGCUUCAGAAGAAGACUAGCCACGAUGCACGCACCAACAGCAGCUAGCAUAGCACCGAUCUUGCCGAACGAAAGCGCGACUCUUGGGAAGGCAGUUUGAAGAAAAAGCGCAGCAAGUGAAAGUGCCAAGCUAAUGAACAUAGCCGCUGCAAAGAGAUUUAUGAAAAGUGGAGGAAAUGAGGUGGGUCUGCUGAUGAACAGAGCCAGCACUGCCUGGAAAGUAAGCCCAAAAACUAUCUUCCCAAGAUUGUUGCGAGCCUGAGGCUCCCUGGGUAAGCCAUCUGAGGCUCCCUGGAUAGAAGAGAAUUGAUUCAUGUCGAUGGAAACCUGCUGUGCAGUUGAUCCCAUUGUGAAUCAGAGAAUCAGAUAAAGGAAACCUCCCAAGAUAAAAAAAUGGGUUAAGACGAGCCCUUUUCAUAUGAUUUUUAUCAAUUGUAUUAGGGGUUCAUCGCCCACUGUAAUUUGAAAGGAAAAAAAAA